RNAcentral lists this long non-coding RNA (1407 nucleotides) under Micromonas pusilla. Its description in RNAcentral is "long non-coding RNA (MPUS_LNC000029)". Lineage: Eukaryota; Viridiplantae; Chlorophyta; Mamiellophyceae; Mamiellales; Mamiellaceae. The record is from RNAcentral.
GUAAAAAACCAGGGCAACAUUACAAACAAGGCUAUGCUCUGCGGCAGAAAGUAGCCGUAGGCUCGGGAUAGCCCGCAUCACAAGGAUAUCGAAAAUCCACCCGUCACAAGUUCUACCCUAAAGCUACUAACCCUGCUUGAAUGCCGUUGUCCAAUAUACGUCAACCGACGCCUAAUUUAGACCAAUUUUGAUAGUGUGUUUGAAAACAGCUUCAGUCAGUUCUUUUCAAACAGGUUCGGUGGAGGGUCUGUGGAGAUAGGGGUUUGUUUUUAUAGCGAACCCCAAAUUGGUCUAAAUUAGACAUAGCUCCUACGACUUCCACGACUUUCGUCAAGCGACCCCAAAAGUCGUGCUGUCUCAUUUUCGUAAGGCUCCUACGACUUCCACGACUUUUACGACUUUUUUAUAAGUUUAAAAAAAAAGGAGAGGGGAGGGCAUAGGGGGGGAGGGGGGGGAGAGUGUAAGAAGUCAAAUAAAGUCGUGGAAGUCGUGGAAGUCGUAGGGGCUAUGUCUAAAUGACGGAACUUUUAUUCCACGGGCGCUAUAAAAAGUCGUGGAGGUCGUAGGAGCUAUAUCUAAAUCACGGAACUUUCGCGAAAUGGGAACAACCAGUUCAAGCGAUACUUACAAAGGUCUCAAACACCCGUCAAAAUCUCACAGAAGUUCCCAGAAACUUGCGUGAGGUUUCUAUAUAGGUUUGUGAAGGUCUGCCGUAGGCUAAAUCUCACAGGGUUCUAUAGAAGUCUAUGAAGGUUGCGGCCGCGAGGGGUCUUCAAAAAGGUCUCAAACAGGCUUCUUAAACAAAGGCUCAUUUUGGAGACUUGCGUAAGGUUAUGGGCCUUUUAGACAACACGCGAUAAUACAUUUAGUCAUUUAGACCAAAAUGAGACCAAAAACUACUUGUAGUUAUCACGUUGUGCUUUAAUUAACCAGCGGUCGGUCGGCACCACUGUGCACGGCAUUUCCCCGGGACCUCUCUGCGAACGAAAAAUAAAUGGGAUCUCCCGAGACAUCCUUCAAACCCCCUAAAACCCAUGAAAUAUCUCGCGGAUUUCCGCGAUACUUUACCCACAGACCAGAAAUGGCCGUGCGCGCCAACCCUAAACUUUUCGCGCCCCACAAACCCUAAAGGAUAUUGCGCGACGGGAACAUGAGACCUUUGAGAAACCCGCCUGACGAGACCUUCUCACCUUCUCCUGAUAUUUUAAUGUUCCCGUACCUCCGCUUUUUUUGUGUAAAAUUAGGUUCAAAUUGUGUAUAUUAUUAAGGGUGAGUGAAACGAACCUUGAACGACGCAGUCGGUCAAGCUUAAUAGUAUCACACUAUUUCACCUAAUUUUACACAAAAAAAGCGGAGGUACGUGUAGCCCUACGUGUACUUAUUCGGAACGUUGUACGGAAGACUUUU